Non-coding RNA from Triticum urartu, 1509 nucleotides. The record is from RefSeq and is a predicted model, not a curated record. NCBI's taxonomy places the organism in Eukaryota, Viridiplantae, Streptophyta, Magnoliopsida, Poales, Poaceae.
ACACGUCUCCCUCCCUUCGCGCGUAGGCCUCCUUUGGUUUCAUCUUCCUCGCUGCUCUUUUCCGAUUCAAAACUCCAACCCCCUCUCCCCUCUCCCCAACCCCCCAAACCCUACCAUGUCCUCCUCUACCGACGCCAUGGCGUCGCCUUGCUCCCAUGACCAAUUCGACGGUAAGCGCCUCUCCCCACAGCCCAUCCCUAACCCUAGCCCCAGCCCAGAUCCUAUCUCCGCCGCCUCCCGCCGCAGAACCAGACCGUGAGACGGUGCUGAACUACGUUUUCCAGGCGACCUCCGACGACGAGCUCUCCAUCUUCAAGGAGCUGGUCACGAUAAUACUGGACAAUGGCAGGGGCCGCCCCAAGGAAGCGAUUGAGGAAUUGAGGGUGGAAGAUGUCGGGCAGCUUGAAGGUUUCAGUGCGCUGCACAUUGCGGCCAGUAAAGGGAGUCUGGGGGUGUGCAGGUACCUCGUCGAGGAGCUGCUGGUAGAUGUGGAUCUGGUCGAUAAGGAAGGUCCAUCUAUCUUCAGAACCCUAAUCUAUUGGUUUAGGACCCUGCGCACACAUUCAGUCUAGGUUUUGUCAAAUUGUAUGAAGUGCUAUUUUACAUGCUGGAAUUAUUGUUCACAAGGGUUGCUUGAUCUGCAAUGGUGCUUGAUGCUGAUGAUGCAGUCUUGUUCUCAGACAGGAGCCUUUGUUGGCUUCAACUGGGUGAUGGAAAAAAGGCUUUGCUAGAUGCUAAUAGAUGCAGAAAAAUGCGGCCUCACUGGCCAAAAGCUUGUCACCGGCAGGGUGAAGCUCGGAUGCUACUGAAGGACUAUGAGGGCGCAAGUGAACGGUUCUUGGAUGGACUCAAGUUGGACCCAGUGGACACUGAUACCGAGGCUGCAUUACGGGAAGCUAUGAAGUCCUUGAAGACGUCUAGGUCUCGGAGCAUGAGAGCCAAUUGACUAUUUGGGUGUUGCAGGGAAGUCAGUUGAAGACUUGAAAUGGGUCAGCAGGAGUUUCUACGUUUGCGCAAAGACCGUUUUCCGUUCGAAAGUAAAAACGACAUGUCUGACGGACCGUGGUAUGACUGUUGAUGCAUGCAGUAGCAGUACCCGGUGGAGACUCUCCAGUUGCCAUCUAUCGUGUAUCAGGCUCUUAUGUCAGGUUUUUGGGUCUUCGACGAAGCUCACUCGUCUGCGGCGUCAACCGAAUGAUCGCAGCCUCCGCAUUGGUCUUGUUGCGGUGUUGCUGAAUUCCCUCACUGCUAGUGUUUUUACUACUCACGUUGGUACAAUGCAGUCACGACAGAGAAGAGGGGGAUGUUUUGUUGGUUUUGUUCGCCCUGUGGGUGCAGAAGAAGAUGAGAGCUAGCAGGAGCUUGCUGGCUACGGUUUGGCGGCUGCUAUCUGUUGUUUUUCUGAACUCGGUUGGUUGCUGUGUGAGGUGGUUCGGACAAUGUAAUGAUGAUUUCAGAAAUCAGGGAGUAAAUGGCAAAAAACUACUGCUUUUUUUAACCCUCGGUGAG